Molecule: long non-coding RNA, 313 nt
Organism: Saccostrea echinata
Lineage: Eukaryota; Metazoa; Mollusca; Bivalvia; Ostreida; Ostreidae
Exons: 3
Source: RefSeq, a predicted model, not a curated record
GGCAGGAAGAAGUUCAAGAAGAGACAGUUUCGGAAAUGUUUGUCAACCUCUGACUACAUUAAGCAGUCUGAUGCGAUGCCAGUUUCUGUGCCUUUGUUUUUCUACUUUGGGUAUCAGUAUCUACAACACAUAGGAAAACUUUUGGAUUAUGGAUAUUUCUUGCUGUACCAGGCCUUAAAGACAAACAGGUGCGAUUACGUCAGUGCGUUGGUUUCUGAUGAAGUGAAGUUUAAAGCUACGUACCUUGCAAAACUUUACGCUAAGACAUUUCCAGUAACGAAAACUAGAAAUUGCUGCAGGCGGAAUUGGGAAG